RNAcentral lists this ribosomal RNA (430 nucleotides) under uncultured bacterium. RNAcentral's name for it is "partial 16S ribosomal RNA". It matches the Rfam family "Bacterial small subunit ribosomal RNA", at positions 29 to 507 of the family's 1533-position model. The record is from RNAcentral.
AACGAACGCUGGCGGCAGGCCUAACACAUGCAAGUCGAACGCCCCGCAAGGGGAGUGGCAGACGGGUGAGUAACACGUGGGAACCUUCCCUAUAGUACGGAAUAGCCCAGGGAAACUUGGAGUAAUACCGUAUACGCCCGAAAGGGGAAAGAAUUUCGCUAUAGGAUGGGCCCGCGUAGGAUUAGCUAGUUGGUGAGGUAAUGGCUCACCAAGGCGACGAUCCUUAGCUGGUUUGAGAGAACGACCAGCCACACUGGGACUGAGACACGGCCCAGACUCCUACGCGAGGCAGCAGUGUGGAAUAUUGGACAAUCGGCGCAAGCCUGAUCCAGCCAUGCCGCGUGAGUGAUGAAGGCCUUAGGGUUGUAAAGCUCUUUUGGCGGGGACGAUAAUGACGGUACCCGCAGAAUAAGUCCCGGCUAACUUCGUG